Mauremys reevesii (Reeves's turtle) is the source of this 297-nucleotide long non-coding RNA. RefSeq lists it as uncharacterized. NCBI's taxonomy places the organism in Eukaryota, Metazoa, Chordata, Testudines, Geoemydidae. The record is from RefSeq and is a predicted model, not a curated record. The transcript is spliced from 3 exons.
CGUCUGGGACACACCACAGCGGGGAGUCUGCCUGGGGCAGGGAGCGGAGGCAGGUGCGGGCGCUCCGCAGUCACAGCCGGGCUGGGAGCAGCGCAGGGAGCAGCGGGCAGAUUUUACCCAAAGUGAUUUACUUCUGCAAGUCUAAGAACCAUACAACAGAAUAACACAAUGAAGGAUGAUUUCAUAAAUUACAUAGAAAAGAAACCACCUAAUCCUAAAUCUGCAAGUAAUGGCUAUGACAAUCCUGCUUUCCAACAUGAUGAAAAACCUGAGCAAAAUAACCAGUUACAGAAGAAC